GGAAGGGGAAGUCCUGAACACAGUGGUGAGACAAACUGCUGGUCAUCUUCAGCAUGAUGAAAAUACAUGUGUACACUUGUCUUCUCUCUGUCUUAACUUUGGUGGAGAUGAAGACUAUCAACACAAACGGACGUGUUGGGUCAAAUCUGAUCAUCAAAUGCUCACACUGGAACCUUUGGGGUUACGAGAAAGAAAAUGUUAAGUACUUCUGUGGAAGUCCCUGCAACGACAAAGACGUCAUUGUAAAAGCAGAAUAUAGAAAGACCAGACGUAAAAAUCAGAUUGAGUUAACCAACAGUGGAAACUAUUUAUUUGUGACCUUCUUAAAUCUCCAAAAGUCAGACUCUGGGAAAUAUUACUGUGGGCUGGAGAGAUUUGGCCGUGAUCCAUUGAUAGAGGUGAAUGUUGAAGUCAAGGAUGCUGAACCUUCUAGUCCUCUGAAGACUCCAAACCCAGUCUUUGUUACUGAUACAACCAGUCCGUCUACAUCUACAAAUGUCCCUACUGUUUUUACUGACAUGUCUUAUCUGACCACAUCAUCUGCAUCCGCAACACAAGGAGCUGGGAGUGCUUUCUAUUGGACCGUGGGAUCAAUUGGUGUGAUCAGCCUGCUGAUAGUUGUACUGAUCCUUACCAAGAGGAUGAUGAUGAAACAACAAGAGGAUGUUACCACGCCUCAAGAACCUGCUAGAAAGAGUGGAGACCCUGAUGGAGUCUAUCAAUCCCUCAAUCCAUUGACAGCAGAUACAGACCAGAUCUACAGCACUAUUGGAUCAACUAACUGACGAGCAGGAAGGUGCUGGAUUUUGUUUGUUUUCUGCCGAAGUCGCACUUCUUCCUGACCGCUGUGUGUCUCUGCUCUACCCUCUGUCACAUUGACCACACUGCUAACACUCGUCAUUCACAGAGAGGAAGCAAAGCAGAGAGCUGAGAUGUCAUCUGAGGCCUACACUACCACAACUGCACUUGACAAAGGGGGUCGUGCUAAGAGGUCCCACGAAGCUGGUUAUCGUGAUGAAGAGUUGACCAAGACUUACCCUGAGUGUUCACAUGAACGAGGGGGAGUAAUAUGACCUAUCA
Molecule: RNA transcript, 1080 nt
Organism: Notolabrus celidotus (New Zealand spotty)
Lineage: Eukaryota; Metazoa; Chordata; Actinopteri; Labriformes; Labridae
Gene name: CMRF35-like molecule 5
Exons: 8
Source: RefSeq, a predicted model, not a curated record